CACACUUAAUCCUACAGGACCUUCCACCCUAGCCUGGAACAGGACUCUCAGCGAAGGGCUGAAUCCUGGUGGCAACUUCACUUUCUCAAAGAGUUCACGUCUGAGGAUUCCACACUGUAACCCGGAAAUGAAAAGGAGCCCUGUGUCAAGAACCUGGGAGCAAUUUUCCUACUUCCAAGGAUGGACUUAAUCCCCAGAGACCCUAAGGGUCGGUGUGCCCUGCAGGAUAUUGGGGUGGCUCUCCUGUUUAUAUACCUGUUUAUGAUCUAACUUGUCCCUGUCCCUACUCCCCAACCAGAGUGAACUUAAAGCCUGGACUACAGCUUCCCUCAGUCUAUCCUGAAGAAGGAGUUGGGGGAGGGUAGGAAGAUGGGGCCAGCGGGACAUUCCCAGGGAGGAUCUCUAUUUCGAGCAAAAUACCGUGAUAAGCCUUCCUCAGUUGCAGAACUCUGGACUCCAAGCGUGAAGGGCACUAAGUCAGGGCUCUCACAAGACUGCUGCUUGGGGACCAUGCUGACCUAGCAGGGGGCUCCCCAAUGUUCCCACCUGAGGUAGCCUCCAUCGAAAGUGACCAGCAGCCCUUCCUGCCAGUAGAUGGUCUGAUUUCUUCGGACUCUGAAUGUGCUGCAGCGGUUUCUCUGGUUCCCUGUAAAACUGUAAAUGGUGACUUUCCGGUUCCUGCUUUUCGUAUUCUUCUUGUUUUCAAAAAGCUGAAAGACGGGAGAGAAAGGACCCUGUUUAAGAAUUCUGGACUCCUCGCUGGCCUUGUGAGGAACUCUGAGCAAGCCGGCCUGGCCCCAUCUUGAUAAAUCGCUACAUCUUUCCCA
Molecule: long non-coding RNA, 827 nt
Organism: Mastomys coucha (southern multimammate mouse)
Lineage: Eukaryota; Metazoa; Chordata; Mammalia; Rodentia; Muridae
Exons: 2
Source: RefSeq, a predicted model, not a curated record